This 72-nucleotide transfer RNA is filed under the name Ipomoea tricolor. RNAcentral describes it as "tRNA-Gln". It matches the Rfam family "tRNA". Rfam says of the family: Transfer RNA (tRNA) molecules are approximately 80 nucleotides in length. The record is from RNAcentral. Lineage: Eukaryota; Viridiplantae; Streptophyta; Magnoliopsida; Solanales; Convolvulaceae.
UGGGGCGUCGCCAAGUGGUAAGGCAACGGGUUUUGGUCCCGGCAUUCGGAGGUUCGAAUCCUUCCGUCCCAG